UUCCCUGCCUCUUACUUGACGGCGAUGGGUGGCUCAUAGGCCUAGGGUAGUUCGGGUUGAGGGGAGGCGGGUGGUUCAGCAUCCCCGAGAUGAGAGCGGCAAGAAGAGAGGCAUUUAAUGGGAAUAAAAACAGGGUCGAGAUCGAGUAGGUGGCAGAAACCGGGAACGAAGGACUUUCCUGAGUGAUGUCUGCCACGUACUGCUUCGGAAGCGACACGUGACCACGACUGCUCACUAAUCAUUUGAUGUUCUGACUACCUGGAAUUUUUUUUGCAAAAACUCCUGUAUCUCCUGGCUCCUCUAUUACCUUUUUGGAACAGGCCUUCAGAGCUAUCUGAGAGGAUAUCUCCUGGGUUUAAACCCUCAGUAACAGAUAGCAAGAGGAAGUACUCGUGUCCGUUGAACUUCAUAUUGAAUCCCCCUCCUUGGAAAAAGACAUUUUGCAGCUAUUUUUCUGGAGGCUGGAAGUCCAAGAUCAUGAUGCCGACCUUUGCUCAAAAGUCCCCUUUCAGAGAGGCUUCCUCUGGACACCCUAUUUAAAAUAACACCCCAUCCAUCAGUCCCUGGCAUCUUAUGCUGCUUGAUUUUACUCACCACAUGCCACGCCACAUGGAGUGUGGGGUCCUAGUUCCCCCACCAGGGAUUGAACCUGUGCCCCCUGCGCUGGAAGCGUGAAAUCCUAAACACUGGACCUCCAGGGAAGUCCCCACUUCUCCAUCUUUAAAAUGAGAGGGUUGGACUAGCAUUCUCAGGGUCCUACUAGCUCUAACAUCCCAGACUUUUGUUUAUA
This is a non-coding RNA of Kogia breviceps (pygmy sperm whale), 790 nucleotides long. NCBI's taxonomy places the organism in Eukaryota, Metazoa, Chordata, Mammalia, Artiodactyla, Physeteridae. The record is from RefSeq and is a predicted model, not a curated record.